AAAUACCAAAAUAAAAUGUUGGUACUAAGUGUACUGAAUGUGAGUUUGUUUGUUUCAAAGUCAGAGAGCCGUGUCUCUCUACAGUCAGAGGUUUUUGUACGACGGCUCAAUGAGUUUGUAUCACUGUGGGCCACGUUCGGUGGAGGAACCAAACUGGAUAUUGGAAGUGAUACUCGUCCCACCCUGACGGUGCUGCGCCCCUCCACUGAGGAGCUGGACCAGGGGAAGGCCAUGCUCAUGUGCCUGGCCAACAAGGGCUUCCCCUCAGACUGGAGUCUGGCCUGGAAGGUGGACGGCAGAAGCAGCGGCAGCAACUGGGAGGAGACCAAGAGCCCCGGGGUGGUGGGGAAGGACGGCCUCUACAGCUGGAGCAGCACCCUGAAGCUCCCUGUAGACCAGUGGCAGAAGGUGGUCUCUGUGACCUGUGAGGCCACCCAGGGCUCCCAGACUCUGGUCUCAGAGACACUGAGGAGAGACCAGUGUUAGUCCUGACCUGACUCACUGGGACUCUGCUACUGGUUUUAAUCUACUACUGCUCUCAGUCUCCACUCUCUCUGAAUCUGUCUGUCUCUUUUUCUCACUCAUUCUCUAAUUUCAUGUUUCAUUUAUAAGGUUUUGAUGCAUCUUGUAUUUUUUCUUUGUGACAGUACAAUAAAGAUCUAUCAUCACA
Molecule: non-coding RNA, 670 nt
Organism: Lates calcarifer (barramundi perch)
Lineage: Eukaryota; Metazoa; Chordata; Actinopteri; Centropomidae
Source: the annotation of a RefSeq genome assembly